This 497-nucleotide ribosomal RNA is filed under the name uncultured bacterium. Its description in RNAcentral is "partial 16S ribosomal RNA". It matches the Rfam family "Bacterial small subunit ribosomal RNA", at positions 28 to 507 of the family's 1533-position model. The record is from RNAcentral.
GAUGAACGCUGGCGGCGUGCCUAAUACAUGCAAGUCGAGCGAACAGAUGAGGAGCUUGCUCCUCUGACGUUAGCGGCGGACGGGUGAGUAACACGUGGAUAACCUACCUAUAAGACUGGGAUAACUUCGGGAAACCGGAGCCAAUACCGGAUAAUAUAUUGAACCGCAUGGUUCAAUAGUGAAAGACGGUUUUGCUGUCACUUAUAGAUGGAUCCGCGCCGCAUUAGCUAGUUGGUAAGGUAACGGCCUACCAAGGCAACGAUGCGUAGCCGACCUGAGAGGGUGAUCGGCCACACUGGAACUGAGACACGGUCCAGACUCCUACGGGAGGCAGCAGUAGGGAAUCUUCCGCAAUGGGCGAAAGCCUGACGGAGCAACGCCGCGUGAGUGAUGAAGGUCUUCGGAUCGUAAAACUCUGUUAUUAGGGAAGAACAAAUGUGUAAGUAACUAUGCACGUCUUGACGGUACCUAAUCAGAAAGCCACGGCUAACUACGUG